UAUUACAAACCUUUUUAAGGUCUCUAGCUCAAAUUUCGUAUUUUUGGUACAAAAUUACCAAUAAAAUAGCUCUUCAAAACGAAGAACAUUAUUCCUUGAUAUAUUUAUAAGUUUGUAUGUAUUUUGAAGAGAAAAAAAUGUUCGAAAACAUGAUGGUACGCCAUUGUAGUGGAGAUUUACCAUCUAAUAUUUGAGAGUCAUACAUGCAUAACUUUUUGAGAUUUUAGUUUAAAAAACCAAGUGUAUUGAUUUUGUUGUACACCUUAUAUAGAGGGUGAUGUUAACAAACUGUACCAUAAGUGGUGAGAUUUGUCAGAUACAAGAUGGAAGCUUGGUUUGACACAAUAGGAUUGUGUGUAGUUUAGCUAUGUCUGGUUUCCCCCCUUUGUUUCUCUUUCUUGAAGCUAAACUUCAGAAUUGAAAUGUGUUCCAUUAUUUGUUGACCCUGAGAUGAUCAGGGGCGAAAAGAGACUCAAGUAGACCUGUAGGGUUUAAAAGUUUCUUUCGGGUGUUUUUUGUAGUUACUUCAGAAGAUCAGAGAAGUAGGUAAUAUGUGUUCGUGCCAGGAGCUUUAAGAAUGUUAAUUUUGAUUACCUUGGGUCCUCAAGUUUAACAUGUUUCGGAGGGAUUUAUUUACUCAAUUGGAUUAUUUCUGUGAAGAAAUUCAAACUUUGUGGAAAUCUGUUGAGGUGGUACAAUAGGAAUUUAUUUUAUUAAUAUUUGUAUUUAUGGUUACAUUCAGAAUUCUGAUUUUUGAGUUUGUGUUUAUAUAUGCUUCAUCCUUUCAUGGUUUUUAGUUAUUUUCCCCCUUGUUUUUUAGUAUAGGAAUUUUUGUUAAGCAUACUCUUUGCAUAUAUUUCCAUGUUUAUUGGCAUUAGUAUUUGAAAGCAUAUGCUCUCUGUAGGCAUGAAGUGGAUUUCAUGGCACUGGUUGGCUUGCCUGCAUUGAUUACCAUAUGAAAUGUGUUGAAAAUUCUGUGCUAAUAAGCAGAAUCAAUUAAUCUCCAGCAAGUGUCACUGGAGAGGAAAAUGCUACUAAUGCUCUUCUAAGUGUGUUUAUUAUUUGCCAUCAUGUCUAAAGUUAUUCUUAUAAUUUAUUUGUGAAUAUAUAUUUACCAAUUCCAAUUCUUGUUAUUUGGGCUUUUUGUUAUGUUUUUUUUCCAAGUACAAAAGGUGUCCUUCUCUCAAAAGAGUAAAGACUCGGAAAAUGAUACAUAUUAGGAGUGUUUCAAGUCUCUUUUUUGAUUGACAGCAACAUAUUUUUGUAAUAAAUGGAAUAUUUUUAUAAUUUUAUCUACUCACUUGUAUUGAUAUGUUUUAUAAUUAUAAUUUAAUACAAAUUUAUUGCAAUAUGUAGCUGGAGACUCCCCUCAAUUUUACUCCUAAUACUCAUAUUCUCUCUCUCUGUAUAUUUAAUUUAAUCAGUACAACUCCAGGAAUUAAUACUGAUGGGACAGCCACACAAAAGCUAAAGAAAAAGUUAAAAACCCAAACCACCGGAGGCAUUAACUCUAGUAAUAUUCCACUCAUCUUCCUCAUCAAACUCCAAGGAAGAACAUAAUGAUGAUGAAUAAAGGAUUCCAGACAGAAUGGGGUUCAUGGAGACUGGUAGUGAUGAUCAAAUAUCUAACCACACCAUUUUACAUUGUGAUGCCUCGUGCGACCUGAAGACGACGCCUGCUAACUAUUUUAUUUGUUAUAUAUUAUACAAUUAUAAUAAUUUAAUUAAUUAAAAUUAAAUAAAUUCAUAUUAAUUUAAAUUUUAACAUGCAAUCUUUUAACUUCAAAAGUCAAAUUGUAUUUUAUAUUUUGGAACCAAAGGAAUAACUACCUACCGUACCUACAUUUAGGGCUUAAUUGCAUUACAACUCUAUAAAUUAGGGAAAUGUACAUAUAAUUAAGUUGGUUAAAAUGGAAAAAGAAAUGAAAGUUGUACAAAAUGUUUGUAGUCAUAAUUUUGAAGGUCUCCCCUCCCCCUCUUUCUAGAAUCUUGGAGUGAUUAACAAGAUUUUUGAUUAAGCAUCGAUUGAGUUUUGGCACUUGCCGAUAUUCCUACAAAGAAAACUCAUGCUAUUCUUGUAAAUACAAGGAUUAUAUAAUCCUAUGAUUAUAAUUUUAAAAUUAUAAUUAUAAUUUAAAAACUAUUAAGUCAUUUUAUAAUAUCUAGAUAGACUAAUAGUUCUAAGUCUAAAAUUGAAAACAAACAAGACACUUAAAUUAAUAAUCAUAUCCCAAAUAUAAUCGCACCAAAACAAACAUAGCCUAACCUAGAGUUUUAUCAAAACUGAUGAAAGGACUUCAUGCAAUACCCGAAAAAUGACAUACAAGAUCCACGCUCAACUUAAAUUAUUGUGUGCAAAAGCGUUGCUUUUAAUUUUUAUAAACAAUGUUUACAAACUAGACACAUUUUAAUAAUCAAUCAAGAGGGAAAGCCCAGACCACAGACCAUGGAAAAAUUAAUAUAGACCGCUACAGAACCACUAUACCGUUCAGUGUGUGUAUAUAUUUGUCCGCCGAACAAACUAAGAACGACGUCGCUCCCUAUGAUUCGCCGGAAAAGCUGACUAUAUAUAUAUAUGUACAAUGUAACUUCUCGACUUGGUGUACACAGAAAUUAGAUAUCAUAAAUCCGGAAAAGUUUAUUGCAUACAAGGUUAUUUCACAGAAAAAUAAUAUUUUCCGAAAUGAUGUGCUACCAAGUAAUAUUUUUCAUGGUAACAUGCUCAAGUAAAGGCAAGUUUCAGCUAGAUUACCACGUGGGACAUGCCCUAGAAUUAAAAUAAUUGUAUAAGAUACUUCAAAAAAAAACAAAAACAAAGAAAGCUGACUCCGUAGGUUCUGGACCAUGUAAAAACCAAUGUACCACUUAGCAAGGGACUGAAGUCAACAGCAAAGCACAACAUAACUACACAACUUCCGGAGAAUUUUAUACCUUGUGCUAUUAUUAGUUGAUAGUGAACACAAUCUUCGUUCCCCAGAAGCACAAAACUCAUCAACGGAUUGAUAGAAACCAAGUAUUACUGAAUUAUUAGAAGUAACAAAACUUCAAAGCAAAUGUUAGCCAAAAAAUAAUCAUAAAGAAGUCUGAGAUAGCAUUAAAACAGCAGUAUUCAAAACUUCCUAAGAGUGAAGCUACCAACUACAUUCAGGGAAGAACAACAUUAUGCAGUAAAGAUCAAAAACUCUUAAGCCAUGGUUCAAAUAUCAUCAUUAAGAACUAAUCAUUAAUAGGACUCAUUCGUCAUCUUCUUCAUCCCCAGCUCCACCAGCAGCCUUCUUUGCAGCGGCCUUCUGGUUCCUUCUCUUCACUCUCCCAGGACGUCCACCACCAAAAGGACUUGUAAGUGAGAAAUCGAUAUGCUUCUGAGAGUCCACCCUCACCAUGAAUGAGGCAACGUUAACCACCUGUCUUCCAACCCUAGUGUAUUCAAAAAAGGUUGGGGAUAAGGAUUGGUAAGCAUAACCAAGAGAAAAGUGCAUGAAAGGAACCAAGUAGGGGAGCAUUUUCCUCCCAAACUACCACAAGAAAAAUGUAGAACUUUCUUUCAGUAUUUUUCUCUAAAGCAACAAGUCUCAUUCAUUUCACAUACAAUAAUACUAUUAUACAGUGAUUUAUACUCAAUAUCAUUGUUAUUUAAGGUGCACCAACGCGCAAAGGUCUCCUUGGGGCCUGGGCUCAAGGCUUAUCGAAGUGAGGUGAACAUAUUUUUUUAAAAAUUAAAAUAUAUAUACACAUUUAAUCAUUUGUGUCAAAUUUAUCAACCAUCAAGUAAUUUUACAAUCUUCUAAGCAUGUUCAAAAGGUUUCUAUAACAAGUUCAAGGACCAUACCUCUGUAAUAUAGUGAUACAAUGACAAAAUCAUAUCAUAAUUACAUUCUUCACAAGUAGAUAGUUAAAUACUUAGAAUCUUACAUAUAUAUUUAAGUAGUAAACGCUGAACAUAAUAUAACUGCAUAUUUAAAUAUUUAAAAAAUACUUACAAGUUAGGGGUUAAUAAAGCUACACAAAGCUACACAGAUGUGUAGACUCCCAAAUAUACACAGUCUACGAUCGUAGAAUUAAGUCACUCUACGAUCGUAGAAUAGUCACUCUACGAUCUGAAGAUUCACUCUACAUUUUACGGUAGUAGGAUGACUACUCUACGAUCGUAGUGUGAUUUAACUCUACGAUUGUAGAUUGUAUACAUUUAAAACUUGCACAGCUGUUUACCUGUAUUUUUUCCUAUAAGUUAUAUACACAUUUAAUUAUUUAAUAAGUUGGUAAUGGUAGUAAAGUACCCGAAUUUUUUGAAAAAAAAUUGGGCAACAUAACCCCCAUAUUAUUUUGCAAAAUACUCUUUUUAGGGCAAGAGCAAAGAAUUAAAAAUAGGAAAAGAGAUAAGGGCGAGACUUGAUGGUCUAGAUUGCUUAGAAUAAAAAAAUUACACAACUUCGAUGAGGCCCACACCUCGUGCACACCUCAUUGAAGGAGCCUCCCCUCUGGCGAGGCGACCAACGCUGCUCCAUAUCACUCAUGGAAACCAUGUUUGUGGCGCAGAUUAAACAUUCAAAAAGCAUAAUUAGAAACAAUGUUUUGUAGUAUAUUUUUUUCCAAAUUAUUGUUCAAUAUUUCAAGUGCAGUUUUAAAUAAAGUAAUCUAUUAAAUCAAAUAUGUCAACGAUACUUCUUGAACCCCAUGCCACAAAAAAGCACUAUUUCCAACCAUGCUAUUCAUAAUGAAACGAAGUGAUUAAUUAAUUUUGCACUCUCUCAAUCAUACAUGAGGACGGGAUGUUUUUCACUCCUAAGGGAGGAAUCCGUAUGGUUCAUAACUUCGGCAGACUUGAUUAUUGUACAAGUCUUUCAUGUAAUGUUGAUAAUUGUUGGUUCAAAAGUUUUCAGAAAUAUGUUUAUUCUAUAGCUAUUAAACUCGUACACAGGUUAUAAGAAGUGUGACAAAAAUAUAAUAUAAAGCACAUUUUAAUAUUUACAGUUUGAGCUUAUACUGCAAAGAAAAUCAGCAGGUAGAAGGGCUGACCGGGCUACAAGAUCAAACUUUUAAAGUGUCUGACUGUGUGUUAUAUACAAUGUCUGGGUGGUCAUGGGCUACAUAAUAUUAAAACAAUAUGAUAUAGUUACUGAAGUUUAAUUAAAUAUUACAAAAAGCAAUACUAGCAACCAAUCAGUAAGAUUAUUGCUGAUAUAUACAAUGAAAACGAUAAAGCAGCAAGUUCAAAGAGACAAACCUCUGACUUCCUAACUAAUUAUGAAAGCAGAAAUGUGAUUCGCUAAUGUAAUUAAAGAAAUUUAAUUAGACAGGAUAGUCCAAUUCACAGUGUCAAUCAACUAUUAAGGUACUUUAUAUUCAGGAAGACAAGCAUAUCUAACACACAUAUAUAAAUAAGCAAGUACACAAGUACAAAAUAAGUACUACAAUGUUUUUCCUUCUACCAUUUCAUUGUGAAACUUCAUAUACUAUAUAACUAAUUAGACUUUAUGAAACUAAUAUUGCAGAGCAACAGACAGAAGAAACUUAAAAGUAGAAAAGUAUUUGAAGUACAAGUUUACAGAAUACAAAAUGAAUGCAUCAUAUGCUUUAUGCCUGUAAGUAACUGCAAGUUUGGGUAUUUAUACCUGAUAUGCCUCUGCCUAAUCAGCACUCUGGCAUGGUGGAUUGACUUAGCCAUGCCUGUCUUGAAAACAAGUGUUUGGAGGCGGCGCUCGAGAAAGUUCUCCACAGUGAGGGCCAGCACAUAAUCAAGCUUAUUCUGGCUCUCGUCCAGCAGCCCAUACCUGUUCAUCCUCCUCAGAAGGGCUUCACCCUCAAAAAUACGACGUGGGUCCUUCUCAUCAAGUGUCAAAAGAUUUCUUGC
RNAcentral lists this long non-coding RNA (5851 nucleotides) under Panax ginseng (ginseng). Its description in RNAcentral is "long non-coding RNA (PGIN_LNC017726)". Lineage: Eukaryota; Viridiplantae; Streptophyta; Magnoliopsida; Apiales; Araliaceae. The record is from RNAcentral.